CCUACGCGCAUGCGCACACUCCACAGAUGUUCAUUGUAAAGCAACGGGUUACGGAACAAACAAGACAGUAAAAUGCGGGAUUAUGCGACUCAUCGCUCGCUGGAAGGGCGAGUCAUAAAGGGGGUCAUAAAACGCCAUAAAAACCAAGACCCGAGACGACGGCCAAGCCGCACCGACAUCCCUCUCCCGGACCCUGUGACACGGGGAGAGGAGGGGACAGAAUCCAGCCGAGGCGGUGACCUUCCCACCACCACGGCCGUUAGCAUCCCUCUUCAGCACCCGGAUCUACCAGGAGGAGGGAACGGAGGCUACGCACUGCAAAUAACGGCGGUAGUCUUUUAGAGUGGCAAACUAAACCGACCUACGCUGGGAGAAGCGAUUUUACAACAAGGAAAGUAAAAUUGCUAUACGAAGCGUUGGAACCUCGUGUAAUUUUACUACAUUUUAGUGACUUUAAAACAUCAUUUUUUACAGUGGCGGAGACAGCCUAGUUCGAGCCGCGCUCCUGAGCACUUCGCAGUUUUUCUGUACCUUUGACACUGAAUAAACGCAAACUUAGAGGUUGUUCUAAGUUCUGCUCACACUUGAAACCCAACGCUAUUUUCUCCCAAACAAGACCUACUAAGAGCAGUCCCUGAUGUGUCCUAACAUAUCUCACGGGCUACUCACCGGGGGUUACGCCGAUUCAAAAGGCGCGCGCUUCACGCUACCAUUUUUCACCAUAAGCGAACGCAUCAUCACAAUUCACACACCAUUUGCAAAUCAAUUCAUAAAUAAGAUGAACACAUUUUUAAUUAUACUGUAGACUGAGAGUUUCUUAAUUAAAAUGCAUUGAAAAUAAAUAAUUGAACUCUAAACUUUU
Molecule: long non-coding RNA, 862 nt
Organism: Nasonia vitripennis (jewel wasp)
Lineage: Eukaryota; Metazoa; Arthropoda; Insecta; Hymenoptera; Pteromalidae
Exons: 2
Source: RefSeq, a predicted model, not a curated record